GAAUAAGCUCACAGGAACACAGUAGAAAGGAGACAGCAGCAGCUGCACAUGGUCUGGUUGGGAGGAUAAAAUGGCGUGCUAUGGAAACACAUUCAUCAUUUUGUCUCCAGCAGUCUGGAAUCUGCUUUAGAGAAAACACUCCCCAAAUGGUUAUUGAAUGAAUGAGUGAUGACCCCCCGCAGUGGGUAAAGCCCUUCCCAUUCUCUGGGCCUCAGGCUUCUCAUCAGUUCACAGAGAUGUUGUCUAAGGGCCCCUGAGUGCUGGCAUUUGGUGACUGAUGUGACAGUAGCAUGUCUGGGUGGGGGGAAGGCCUGCUCACCCCAACGGGGCCUUUGCAUCAGUCCCCAUUGCUGGCUGUGGGGCGAUAUCGCCCAGAGACAACUGCUCCCACAACUGCAUGGGGAUGAACCCCUGCAGCGUCGCCGUGGCGUCCCCAUGGCGUCGCUGUGGCGUGGUUGAGGGAGGCUAGGGGAGCCGGACUUGGGGCUCUGCAGCCAGGGCUCAAAGUCAGACGGGUGUGACUCUAGAAGCAGAGACAGGAAAUGUCUUUCCCCAAAUACCUCUUCUGCUAGUGCCUGAAAUUCCACCAUUUGUGAUUUAUUCCAUUGGGGUCAGCACUGUGUUGUUUUGUUUUGGUUUGGUUUUGGUGAGUCCUCUUUAUAAGUGCUAAAAACUUCAGCAGAGGGAUAGAGAUUUUACACAAAAUUCCAUGCUUGAUUGCCUUUUAUGUGCCAGUGCCUGUAGGGGAGAGGAGACGGUGGGGGCCAGAUCCAAAAGUGAUAAUGAAGACAAUACACUUACCGUUUAUUGAUUACUGUUUAUUGAGCAUUUACUAGGCGAUGCGCUCUGCAUAUAUGGC
This is a long non-coding RNA of Lutra lutra (Eurasian river otter), 859 nucleotides long. RefSeq lists it as uncharacterized. NCBI's taxonomy places the organism in Eukaryota, Metazoa, Chordata, Mammalia, Carnivora, Mustelidae. The transcript has 3 exons. The record is from RefSeq and is a predicted model, not a curated record.